This 549-nucleotide ribosomal RNA is filed under the name Stiltia isabella. Its description in RNAcentral is "partial 12S ribosomal RNA". It matches the Rfam family "Bacterial small subunit ribosomal RNA", at positions 657 to 1405 of the family's 1533-position model. Lineage: Eukaryota; Metazoa; Chordata; Aves; Charadriiformes; Glareolidae. The record is from RNAcentral.
UAGGGUCGAAGUACGUCUAGGCUGUCAUAAGCUCAAGACGCCCCUAAGACCCCUUUCAAGAUAACCCUAGCAUUACCGAUCAAUUUAACUCCACGAAAGCCUGGACACAAACUGGGAUUAGAUACCCCACUAUGCCCGGCCCUAAAUCUUGAUGCUUGUCACACUAGAGCAUCCGCCUGAGAACUACGAGCACAAACGCUUAAAACUCUAAGGACUUGGCGGUGUCCCAAACCCACCUAGAGGAGCCUGUUCUAUGAUCGAUAACCCACGAUACACCCGACCACCCCUCGCCCAAAGCAGCCUAUAUACCGCCGUCGCCAGCUCACCUUUCCUGAAAGCACAGCAGUGAGCAUAACAGCCAAACCCGCUAACAAGACAGGUCAAGGUAUAGCCUAUGGGGUGGAAGAGAUGGGCUACAUUCUCUAAAGUAGAGGACUUACGGAAGGGGGCGUGAAACCGCCCCCGGAAGGCGGAUUUAGCAGUAAACUGGGACAAUAGAGCCCUCUUUAAGUCGGCCCUGGGACACGUACAUACCGCCCGUCACCCUCC